GGAAGCGUGGAUGAGUGGUUUAAAUCAACAGUCUUGAAAACUGUCGUGGGGAAACCCACCGUGAGUUCGAAUCUCACCGCUUCCG
RNAcentral lists this transfer RNA (85 nucleotides) under Minisyncoccota bacterium. Its description in RNAcentral is "tRNA-Ser". It matches the Rfam family "tRNA". Rfam says of the family: Transfer RNA (tRNA) molecules are approximately 80 nucleotides in length. Their secondary structure includes four short double-helical elements and three loops (D, anti-codon, and T loops). Lineage: Bacteria; Bacillati; Minisyncoccota. The record is from RNAcentral.